Molecule: long non-coding RNA, 1282 nt
Filed under: Agrilus planipennis (emerald ash borer)
Lineage: Eukaryota; Metazoa; Arthropoda; Insecta; Coleoptera; Buprestidae
Description: uncharacterized LOC112905811, transcript variant X3
Source: RNAcentral
UUUUCAUUAUUUUUACAGAUUUUACAGCCACUGAUGAUCGCCGCCCUCCUACUAGCUUCUCUCUAAGUUGUCUUUCCACAAUUUCAGAUUUCACAGUCGCCGAUAAUUUUCGCCCCUCUACGAGCAUCCCUUCAAAGUUGUCCUGCCACAGAUUUUGUCACCAACGAUGACGUUCCUUCUUCACUUUUGACUUCGAUGACUUUUGUGGCCUUUUCUAUUUGCUCAACUUUCUGUUCAAAUUACAUAAAAUCUAUUAUCUAUGGCUUCCGUGCUGGAAAGGGAAACUAUGGGCUGUCUCCUUGAACACCAUCCAAUAGGUCCUCCACAAAACAUUAAAACGAAGCCAGUAGUGCUUUUCCGAGAUAGUAUGUCGCCGGUAAAAUCAGAAUCACAGUAUCGAAUAAUGCGUUUUAAGUUAACUACAUCCCGACACGACGGAUUGUCCAAUUUUCUGCUACACAUAUUUACCGAAAAAGAUAAGUCUAGUCUGGUCUUGUUUGUAAGAUAUAAUAAACUACCAACAAGCUCUUUGUAUGGGAAUCCUUGAUUCUUCGGGGGUAUUUCAUCUUCUUUGGGAUCGUAUUGCAUCGGUGUUGACACAGGAUUUAAAUUUUGAAAUCCAAAAUUCUCUAAAGUUGCAUCAAUGAAGUUUUCUUGCGAUAAAGAUUUUAUUAUUGUCACAUUUUAUUUGUAUUCCUAAGAACGAAGUAGGAUUGUUACAUGGUACCAUUUCAAAUUCAUGUUUUAAUUCUUCGGGUAAUCUAUUCAUUUCAUCACAAUUUUCACCAACACUAAUCCCAUCAUCAACAUAAAUGGCCAGAAAUAACGUUGAAGUUAUAUUUUUGAAUAUGCAUUUUUCACUUUUGAGUGCAGUAAGCCCUUUCGAUUUGAGUACUUUUGGGAAAUGUUCAUUCCAUUUUAGGGGUGACUGCUUAAGUCCAUAAAGUGAUUUUUGUAACAAACAUACUUCAUUUUUGUUGUUUCUUGUCUUGAAGCCUUCAAGAAUUUCCAUAAAAAUGCAUUGAUCCAAUUUGCCAUAUAGAAAGGCGGUUUUUAUGUCAAAUUUACAAAAAACAAUGAUUCGAAGCUGUCAGCGCAAAAAGUAUUCGUAACGAAGUAAUACUAAUUACUGGACUAAAUGUUUCCUGAUAGUUUAUCCCAUAUUGCUGUUCACAACCUCUUAUAACCAAUCUUGCUUUAAAAAUCCCAUUUUCCUUUAUUCUAAAUACCCAUCUGCUACUUAAUACCUUUUGAUUUUUUGCCUUUUCUUUAUCUACAUACU